Molecule: ribosomal RNA, 1081 nt
Filed under: Paracorniculantispora psalliotae
Lineage: Eukaryota; Fungi; Ascomycota; Sordariomycetes; Hypocreales; Cordycipitaceae
Description: SSU rRNA
Rfam family: Eukaryotic small subunit ribosomal RNA
Source: RNAcentral
UACAGCGACUGCGAAUGGCUCAUUAUAUAAGUUAUCGUUUAUUUGAUAGUACCUUACUACUUGGAUAACCGUGGUAAUUCUAGAGCUAAUACAUGCUAAAAAUCCCGACUUCGGAAGGGAUGUAUUUAUUAGAUUAAAAACCAAUGCCCUUUGGGCUCCUUGGUGAUUCAUAAUAACUUUUCGAAUCGCAUGGCCUUGCGCCGGCGAUGGUUCAUUCAAAUUUCUUCCCUAUCAACUUUCGAUGUUUGGGUAUUGGCCAAACAUGGUCGCAACGGGUAACGGAGGGUUAGGGCUCGACCCCGGAGAAGGAGCCUGAGAAACGGCUACUACAUCCAAGGAAGGCAGCAGGCGCGCAAAUUACCCAAUCCCGAUUCGGGGAGGUAGUGACAAUAAAUACUGAUACAGGGCUCUUUUGGGUCUUGUAAUUGGAAUGAGUACAAUUUAAAUCUCUUAACGAGGAACAAUUGGAGGGCAAGUCUGGUGCCAGCAGCCGCGGUAAUUCCAGCUCCAAUAGCGUAUAUUAAAGUUGUUGUGGUUAAAAAGCUCGUAGUUGAACCUUGGGCCUGGCUGGCCGGUCCGCCUCACCGCGUGUACUGGUCCGGCCGGGCCUUUCCCUCUGUGGAACCUCAUGCCCUUCACUGGGUGUGGCGGGGAAACAGGACUUUUACUUUGAAAAAAUUAGAGUGCUCCAGGCAGGCCUAUGCUCGAAUACAUUAGCAUGGAAUAAUGAAAUAGGACGUGUGGUUCUAUUUUGUUGGUUUCUAGGACCGCCGUAAUGAUUAAUAGGGACAGUCGGGGGCAUCAGUAUUCAAUUGUCAGAGGUGAAAUUCUUGGAUUUAUUGAAGACUAACUACUGCGAAAGCAUUUGCCAAGGAUGUUUUCAUUAAUCAGGAACGAAAGUUAGGGGAUCGAAGACGAUCAGAUACCGUCGUAGUCUUAACCAUAACUAUGCCGACUAGGGAUCGGACGAUGUUAUUUUUUGACGCGUUCGGCACCUUACGAGAAAUCAAAGUGCUUGGGCUCAGGGGGAGUAUGGUCGCAGGCUGAAACUAAAGAAUGACGAGGCACCCACCAGGGGUGG